Molecule: ribosomal RNA, 498 nt
Filed under: uncultured bacterium
Lineage: Bacteria
Description: partial 16S ribosomal RNA
Rfam family: Bacterial small subunit ribosomal RNA
Source: RNAcentral
GACGAACGCUGGCGGCGUGCCUAAUACAUGCCAGUCGAACGAGAGCGACCGGUGCUUGCACUGGUCAAUCUAGUGGCGAACGGGUGAGUAACACGUGGGUAACCUGCCCAUCAGAGGGGGAUAACAUCCGGAAACGGAUGCUAAAACCGCAUAGGUCUUCGAACCGCAUGGUUUGAAGAGGAAAAGAGGCGCAAGCUUCUGCUGAUGGAUGGACCCGCGGUGCAUUAGCUAGUUGGUGAGGUAACGGCUCACCAAGGCCGUGAUGCAUAGCCGACCUGAGAGGGUGAUCGGCCACAUUGGGACUGAGACACGGCCCAAACUCCUACGGGAGGCAGCAGUAGGGAAUCUUCCGCAAUGGACGCAAGUCUGACGGAGCAACGCCGCGUGAGUGAAGAAGGUUUUCGGAUCGUAAAACUCUGUUGUUAGAGAAGAACAAGUGCUAGAGUAACUGUUAGCGCCUUGACGGUAGCUAACCAGAAAGCCACGGCUAACUACGUG